RNAcentral lists this ribosomal RNA (253 nucleotides) under uncultured bacterium. Its description in RNAcentral is "partial 16S ribosomal RNA". It matches the Rfam family "Bacterial small subunit ribosomal RNA", at positions 524 to 776 of the family's 1533-position model. The record is from RNAcentral.
UACGGAGGGUGCUAGCGUUGCUCGGAAUCACUGGGCGUAAAGCGCACGUAGGCGGACUCUUAAGUCGGUGGUGAAAUCCUGGAGCUCAACUCCAGAACUGCCUUCGAUACUGGGAGUCUCGAGUUCGGGAGAGGUGAGUGGAACUGCGAGUGUAGAGGUGAAAUUCGUAGAUAUUCGCAAGAACACCAGUGGCGAAGGCGGCUCACUGGCCCGAUACUGACGCUGAGGUGCGAAAGCGUGGGGAGCAAACAGG